GGAGAGAUGGCCGAGAGGUUUAAAGCGUCGGAUUGCUAAUCCGUUGUACGAAAUACCUUUGUACCGAGGGUUCGAAUCCCUCUCUCUCCU
Molecule: transfer RNA, 90 nt
Filed under: Equisetum scirpoides
Lineage: Eukaryota; Viridiplantae; Streptophyta; Polypodiopsida; Equisetales; Equisetaceae
Also listed under: 6 other names
Description: tRNA-Ser
Rfam family: tRNA
About the family: Transfer RNA (tRNA) molecules are approximately 80 nucleotides in length. Their secondary structure includes four short double-helical elements and three loops (D, anti-codon, and T loops). Further hydrogen bonds mediate the characteristic L-shaped molecular structure. tRNAs have two regions of fundamental functional importance: the anti-codon, which is responsible for specific mRNA codon recognition, and the 3' end, to which the tRNAs corresponding amino acid is attached (by aminoacyl-tRNA synthetases). tRNAs cope with the degeneracy of the genetic code in two manners: having more than one tRNA (with a specific anti-codon) for a particular amino acid; and 'wobble' base-pairing, i.e. permitting non-standard base-pairing at the 3rd anti-codon position.
Source: RNAcentral